CUAGCCUGGGAAUUUCCAUAUGCUGUAGGUGUGGCCAUAAAAAGCAAAAAACAAAACAAAACAACCCCCAAACAAACAAAAACCCCCAGUCCCCCCCAAACAAAAAAUAACAAAAACAAAAACAAAGAGUGUGCAAAGCAGCAGAAUGGCUGUAAAGAUGUAAAAUGAGGACCACUGUAAGACCUCCCAGCCUAUUUAAAUUCUCCGCGUUCAUACAGCGGCAUCACCUUUACAUUUCUCAUAAUUCAAGACUUUCAUUCUCCCCGUGGGUUCCCCUUUAAAAAUGCUAGAUUCACGUUCAGCUCAGCCUUGUUAGCUGUUCUUAGUCAUUGUUUCUCUCAUGUGCUUUGGGAAACACAGGGGUGAGUGAGAAUGACAGUUUGCUGUCAAGGAAAGCACCCCCAGAGGAGGUGACAUGUAUGCUGGGACUGAAAAGACAAGUUGGGAGUUAGCCAGACAGAGAGGUGAUGGGAGGUCACCCCAGACAUGAGGAAGGACGGUGUUUUCAAAAGUUGAGAGGCAGGAAAUGGUGUGGCAUCUUUGGUGAGCCAACUGUGUUUUGCUGCAGUUUGAAAGGAGUUCUGUGUGUGUGUGUGUGUGUGUGUGUGUGGUGUGUGUGUGUGUGUGAGAGAGAGAGAGAGAGAGAGAGACAGGGGUGGAGGGCAGGAGGGGAUGGUGGUGCCCAUGGAAGACUCGGGGACACACAGAGAGGUUUAGAUUUUUCCUGCAGGUGCUGGGGAGCCAUCGAAGGUGCUAAAGGAGGAUCGAGGUGUGAUCAGAAGCAGAUUUCCCUUCUUCCUCUUUCCCCUGGUCCCCAGCCUGAGGUCAUUGUCUCUAUAAGGAAAGGAUGACAACAAUGAUUUGACUUCCACAGCCACGGUGCUCAUUACUUAGAGAACUGCAGCCCCUCGUGGCCCCUGGAGGACCUGUCCCGCAGCAUCUCUGGGGAGCUGAGGGCAUCAUUGGCGUCUCAGAGCCUCAGGGACUGGGAUGAUGUCAUGCUGUCUGUGAUUUGAGUCCUUUCCUGGGGACAGCGUUCACUGGGCCUAUUACUAGUCAGCCUCGCUCCAGGCAGGGAGAGCAUGCCUAUGGGCCGAGGCAGGCCAAGGAUGAUGAUAUUUAGGCUGAGAUGAUGCCCAGGGGCUGCCAGAGCCCUGAGCAAUCAGCUAGGGAGGCUCCCACUCAUCAGAAGGCAACUGCAAAUAGAAAGGCCAGAAGCGGGGGUGGCAUGGGAGGCGCCACGAAGAACCGUCCAAAGUGCUCCAUGGGAAAAGACUCUGAACACCCUCGAGGCCCAGAGGAUGCAGAGGUCAUAAGGAUGCACCCAAUGCAUCCUUACGACUGAGGCAUGCACGGAAGAUCCUUCUUCCCCCAGUCCCCUCCUUCAUCCCAUGCUAGCAGGAGAGGAAGAAAGCAAGGCAGAGGGGUGGGGAAGGAGCUGACCCCAGUCCCAGACACCCCCGGAGUGGGCAGGAAGUAGGAACUUCUAACAAAAUUGGAAAAUUUGGUGGAACAUACUCAUUAUGGAAUUAAGGCUGCUUUGGGAGCCAAGAAGAGUGUGAGCAGGAAAGGCACGGGAUUUGCCAGGGUUUUCAUCUGGGAAUGACUGGUUGCCUCUCAUCAGUCUUGCUUGUUCAAAUUCAUGAUGACUUUACGCUUAGAAUUCACGGAGUACACUGCAAGGUCACCCCGGUGCCUUACACAUGCUGACCUCUUGGCCUGAAAUGUCCUCCCUGCCUUGUCCUGUAGCAAAAACUGUUCCCACCCUGAUGCAAGGCAAUCAUUGUCUCCUUUCAGGAUCCCUGUUGAAACUCCCUCUACUUGCUCUUGCUUUCCUUUGUAGAGAGAAGGGCUGCCCCUGUUUUAUCACAGGAGGACAGUACCUACCAGGGCUCUAGCUUUGGGGGAAGAUGCUAUUCUCCUCUCUUUCUGUAUGUGUGUGUGUGUGAGUGUGUGUGUGUGUGUGUGUGUGUGUGUAUGUAUGUAUGUGUAUAUAUGUAUGUAUAUAUACUUAUGCAUGUAUAUAUAUAUAUAUACAUGUGCAGUACAUACAUUUAUAUACACAUGAUAUAUAUAUCAUAUAUAAAUGUAUGUAUAUAUGCAUGAAUAGUAUAGUUUAUAUAUACACAUGUAUAUAGUGUUUACAUAUAUAGUUUUUUAAAAAAUCAGCUUUAUUGAUACAUAAUUUACCAAAAAUAAAACAUUAAAUUUGAUGAGUUUUGACAGACACAUAAACGCAUGCAAUCCCGACCACAGUCAAGAAAUGGAACACCUCCAUCACCCCAGAGUUCCCCUCUGCCCUUCCCCAGAAAGCCCUCCUCCCCCUGCCCAGCCCCAGGCACCCCCGAUCUGCUUUUUGUCACUGCAGAUUGAGUUUGGUCUUUCCGAGAGCUUUGUAUAAAUGGAAUCAUACAUGGCAAUUCAAGGAAAAUCUGUCUGGAUAGGAAAAAGCCAAUUUCUUUCUAGAAAAUAAGAAAACGAAUUUAAAAUGUGAAUUGUAUCCUUCUAACAAGCAAACCAAGAUUCCUUCUUCCUAGAAAGCAAACACACUGAAGUGUAAUCGUUUUGACUCUGUAUUGCAAUUAGCUCAGACUCUCUCCACCUCCUCCUCCCUCAUCACCCUGCCUUCAAUUUUUCUGUCUCCAUUUCCUUUGGUGUCUUAUUUAUUUUUCCGGAAUAUGAAAACGUUAUUGGCAUUCUGCUUAUGAGUAUUUUCAAUUUCCUUGAAUUUUUGGAGACAAAUUGAUUUUUCGUGGGCUAAUAUAUCUUCAGGAUGACUUUGCUUGAAUUUGGCCUGUUCAUUGAUCUAAAAUGGUUUUGAAGCUUUGGGCAGAAGGCGACAGCUCCUAAACUACAUGGUGAAUGAGAGUCUCUGGGGCUUUUUGUCAUUGUGGCAGGAUUGUGUGCAUUUCUUCCUAUUCCCUACUGUCCCUUAAAUCUAAAUUCUGUAGGGGAGGGGCAAGUUGGCCAUUUCCCCAGUGUUCUCUCUGCACCCCUGAGUAGAGCAAGGAAAACGGUCCAGGAUAACCACAGAGUAAUUCCCGAUACCUGGUUUCAGCACCUUCCACAGGCAGAAAUAUGCAGCAGACAGAACUGGGCAGCAGGCUUCCUGUGACCUUGGCUGAGGGGCACGUGGUCCCCUCAUCUCCCAGCCCCCAGUCCUUUGGACACAUCACUUCUUAGCUCCCUAUUCUGAUAUCAGCUAGAGGAGGCAUCUUCCUGGGGGUGUAGCACCCUCCUUCCCCCCAGAUUCUACACUGGAGAAGGGGAUAGUUCCAGUGCUAGAGGCCAAGAGAUGCAUAAGGCAAAUAUCCUUUUCAUCCCCAGCUUUUCUUUUCUUUUUUUUUCCUAACCUGCUUUAAGCAUUUUGUCCUUGACGGUUAUCUAUUGUUCAAAACAAUUUUGCAGUGAGUGCAAUAUUGCUGGUCGAUUAUGAGUCAUGAACCAUGGCGGGGCACCCAUGUGGGAUGUCUGCUCUGCUUGCCAUGUGCCUGACUCAGAACAGUAGCCUUUCUCCAUCUAGAUUCACACUUCGCAACCCAGCCCCUGGCCCGAACCCUUGACAUCAGAGGCACACACCUGACUGAAAUUGGGCCAGAUGGAUUCUCUUGCCUGGACCUCUGAAAUUGGGAUUGAAAGAGGGCUGGUCUAUCUCUCCGUCAUGCUCGCAAACAUGGGAUGGCCAGUGCUCAGAAAGCAGAGUCUGUCAUUGGGAUGGAAGGACAUAACCUUGUAGGUCGAUGCAGAUGUGGACAUGCGUGACCAUGUGAAGACAAGGGCAGGAGGCGCAGCCACACCCAGAAAGAAGGAGAGAGGCUGGGAGAGAGGGGGGUAGGGGGAGAGAAACUGGCUGCCCAGAUUCUGUUAGUCUCCAGUUCCUAGUUCCAGUCCAGCUGUCCUUUUGUGUUGGUUUCCAAGUGACAGCCCGGUAAACUUGAAUGAACUUCCUGUUUUUGCCUAAGGUAAUUUGGAGUAAUUUCCUGUUAAUUUGCAGCCAAAAGACUCUGAAUAAGAUGCAACCUAAUACCAGGAAAUGAAGUUACGCAUAAUCACCUAGCUGGCCCAUUCCAGGGUUUGGGAAUAAUAAGGAUUCCUUCAUCUCAGAACUCAGAGGACUAUUAGUGGAAUAGAGACAAAAAGAGCCAGUGAAUAAGUGUCCAUUGUUUUGGGACUUGGAUAAUUUUCCUUCUGAGACUGGGACUUUAGGAGGCUCCAAAGGCCACCUUGAAGGAGGUCUCGACAGUGCUGGCAACUCCCUGGAAUUUCAGUAAAGGUGAACCAGACAUGAACCAGUCUGCCUGGUUUAAUGUGGAGGAAAACGGUCAGUUAUGUAACUCUGCUCCCAGAAGUUCUUGCUGCUUCUAGUCUAGGACCUGAGACCACUUCCGGCCAUUUUCAAAAUUCAAAAUGAGACUUACUGAGCUGCAGGACUGAACACUCCGUGUGGCAACCUCCAUUGAGAACUAAACAUGGUGACUCACUGAUGAAAUAGUGACAUCCCAGCACUUGGAAAGAGGACAUCCAGGAUGCGCCAGGGGUGUUGGGGAAUCCCGACCCUUCAGUGCUUCUCCCAAGUCUGUCUGUGGUGCCCUCUUGCUGGACAGAGGCACCUCAGGACAGGUUUGGGAUGCUCUGUUGAGCUAACGGGGUGAAGCAGGCUCUCUGCUGCCCUCUACACCCUAAGGUGAAAUCCAUUAAGCAGAGAACAGGAGCACACCCCUCAGGCGUCUUUCUAAGAAACUGAAGCCCCUCUGGCAGGGCCCCUGACCAGGCUGCCUAGAAAAGGCUUCUAGCAAAUUGAAUCUCUCUAACUUAAGAUCUUAAAGACAUUACACUGCCAGAAAACUUCAAGCCUGGAGAAUAGAAUUUCAGAGGGCCAUAAAUCCACACUGCAGGGCUUUUUCGUCCCCCAGGCAGUCCAGGCUCAAGCUCAGAGGCUGCCAGCUCCAUUCAGAAGGUGUCACAUGCCCCACAGCCAACUCCCCCACCCCGAUCUCCUUCCAGGGGUGGCCCUGGAGGACCCAGGAUGAGGGCCAUGUUCCCAGUUGGGGUGGGGGGCAGAAACCAGGUCAGCUCUACUGGAGAACCAAGGAGCUCCUCCUGCAGGUGUUACCAAUUUCAUCAGAUACCCAGUGACAGCUGGGCUGCUGUCAUGGAGGGCCCUCACCUUCAUUUUCAAGCGAGGGCUUUGUGGUCAUUGUCUGGUCUCUCUUGCUGAGUUCUGUAUCAGAUGGGCCAUAAAUGGCAGAUUUUGUCAUCUUCUCUCUAGACUGAAUUGAUUUGGGAUUGACUUGGAGAAGGGAAUGUUGUCUGGGAUUAGGGCCCCGAUGGAGGUGAAGGUAUUGACUUUGGCAAGCGCGUUCUUGCUGUGUGGCCCCCUGCCAUGGGGUGAGGCAGGACUCCAGCCCCAGACAGGCCCGGGUGAUUUUGUCUUCCUGGGAAUUUUGAAUCAGAUCAACGAGGGAGCUCAUGGAUUUCUCUGUGCAUUCCAAUGACGACACCAGCAUGGCUAGAAGGCAAUGGGGCCCCUCGUGGCUACGAGGCAGCCCUGUUCACGGAGCAGCAAAGACAGUGGUCUACAAAGAGAGAAGGAAGCGGCUCUACAAAGAGGGGGAGAGAGACAAAGACAGAGGCAGGAAGUCAGAGAGAGACAGAGGGAUGGAGCCAGAGAUGGAUUUGUGAUUGCUUUCCUGAGUUUUGUUUCUUGGGAAGAGGUGUUGCGCUCUUUGUUUUGGGCUCCAUGAAAUACCCCUGACCCUCACUCUGCCUUAAAAACAAACUUUUUGCUUUAGAAUAAUCAUAGAUCCAGAGGAAGUUGCAAAGAUAGGACGGAGAAGACUAUGUACCCAUCACUGUUUCUUUUAUUUUUCUUUUCAGGGCCACACCCUUGGCAUAUGGAGGUUCCCAGGCUAGGGGUCAACUUAGAGCUGCGGCUGCUGGCCUACAUCACAGCCACAGCAACGUGGAUCUGAGCCCCAUCUGCAACCUACACCACAGCUCAUGGUGACGCCGGAUCCCUGACCCGCUGAACAAGGCCAGGAAUCGAACCCACAUCCUCAUGGAUCCUAGUCAGAUUCAUUUCUGCUGCUCCACAAUGGGAACUCCCCCCAUCACUGUUUUACCCAUGGUUACAAUUUACACAACUCUGGUAAACGAUCAUGGCGGACAUUGAUGUUAGUUAUGUGUGUUGUUUUAUCACAUGUAUGGGUUUGUGCAGUCAAGAAAUAGAACUGUGCGGCCCAUAAUGCCCUUACUGCUACCUCUAUGUACAGUCAUCCCUGCUCUGGCCGCUCCUAAUUCCUGGCAAAUAGCAAUCUGUUUUUCAUCUUUAUAAUUCCUUCAUUUUGAGAAUAUUCUGUAAGUGGAAUCACACAGUUGAUGACUUUUUGAGACCGGCUUUUUCCCCUCAGUGUCAUUCCUUUGAGAUCCAUCCAUCCAAGUUGCUGUGGUGUAUCCCUGGUCCGAUCACUGUUAUUGAUGACUAAUAUCCCAGGCAGGGAUGGACCAGGGUUUGUUUAACUGUUCACCCGUGGGGACAUUACGAUUGUUUCCAGUUUGGGGCUAUUAUAAAUAAAGCUGCUGUGAGCACUUGUGUAUGGGUUUUUGUGUGAACAUGUAUUCAUUUCUCUGGGAACAAUGCCAGGAGUGCAAUUAUGGUGAGUGUAUGUUUUGUUUUUUUUUUUUUUUUUUUUUUUUUUUUUUAAGAAACUGACUAUUUUCUGGAGUGACUGUACCAUUUGCACUCACACCAGCUAUGUAUGAGAGUUCCAGUUUCUCUGCAUGCUCCCCAGCAUUUGGUUUGUCAUUUCUUAUUUUAGCUGUUCUAAUAGGAAUAGACUGAUAUCGCACGGUGGUCUUAAAUUGCAUUUCUUCUGUUGCUAGCAAUGUUGAACAUUGUUCAUGUUAUGUUUGUUGUCUGUAUGUCCUAACUGAUAAAUGUCUUUUCAUGUUUUUUGCCCAUUUUCUAACGGCAUGUGUGUCUGCGUAUUUAGUAUCAAGUUCUAAUACAAAUUAUAUUUUUU
This 7022-nucleotide long non-coding RNA is filed under the name Sus scrofa (pig). RNAcentral describes it as "lncRNA (ENSSSCG00000056245.1)". Lineage: Eukaryota; Metazoa; Chordata; Mammalia; Artiodactyla; Suidae. The record is from RNAcentral.